This 24-nucleotide non-coding RNA is filed under the name Rattus norvegicus (Norway rat). The record is from RNAcentral. Lineage: Eukaryota; Metazoa; Chordata; Mammalia; Rodentia; Muridae.
UGCUGCUAGGUGACCAGAAGUUGC